GAGACUUCAGGGCCCCGGGUUCUGGACUGAUCAAGUGUAGUAUCUGUUCUUAUCAGUUUAAUAUCUGAUACGUCCUCCAUGCGAGGACAACAUAUUAAACGGAUUUUUGCAACAGGGAGUCGGAACAGGGGCUCGCUCCGUCCGCUCCGCGCAUCGCCCCGGUAUUGCAGCGCCUCCGGGAAGGGUGCACUCUUU
This is a small nuclear RNA of Hypomesus transpacificus, 195 nucleotides long. RefSeq annotates it as U2 spliceosomal RNA. Lineage: Eukaryota; Metazoa; Chordata; Actinopteri; Osmeriformes; Osmeridae. The record is from RefSeq and is a predicted model, not a curated record. The transcript has a single exon.